RNAcentral lists this ribosomal RNA (253 nucleotides) under uncultured bacterium. RNAcentral's name for it is "partial 16S ribosomal RNA". It matches the Rfam family "Bacterial small subunit ribosomal RNA", at positions 524 to 776 of the family's 1533-position model. The record is from RNAcentral.
UACGAAGGGGGCUAGCGUUGCUCGGAAUCACUGGGCGUAAAGCGCACGUAGGCGGCUUGUUAAGUCAGGGGUGAAAUCCUGGAGCUCAACUCCAGAACUGCCUUUGAUACUGGCGAGCUUGAGUUCGGGAGAGGUGAGUGGAACUGCGAGUGUAGAGGUGAAAUUCGUAGAUAUUCGCAAGAACACCAGUGGCGAAGGCGGCUCACUGGCCCGAUACUGACGCUGAGGUGCGAAAGCGUGGGGAGCGAUCCGG